GCUUUCGUGGCGCAACUGGUUAGCGCGUCUGACUGUUAAUCAGGAGGUUGAUAGUUCGAGCCUAUCCGAGAGCG
Molecule: transfer RNA, 74 nt
Organism: Linderina pennispora
Lineage: Eukaryota; Fungi; Kickxellomycota; Kickxellomycetes; Kickxellales; Kickxellaceae
Rfam family: tRNA
About the family: Transfer RNA (tRNA) molecules are approximately 80 nucleotides in length.
Source: Rfam